This 253-nucleotide ribosomal RNA is filed under the name uncultured bacterium. Its description in RNAcentral is "partial 16S ribosomal RNA". It matches the Rfam family "Bacterial small subunit ribosomal RNA", at positions 524 to 776 of the family's 1533-position model. The record is from RNAcentral.
UACGUAGGGGGCAAGCGUUGUCCGGAUUUAUUGGGCGUAAAGAGCGUGUAGGCGGUUUGGUAGGUCCGUUGUGAAAACUCGAGGCUCAACCUCGAGACGCCGAUGGAAACCAUCAGACUAGAGUCCGGAAGAGGAGAGUGGAAUUCCUGGUGUAGCGGUGAAAUGCGCAGAUAUCAGGAAGAACACCCGUGGCUAAGGCGGCUCUCUAGUACGGUACUGACGCUGAGGCGCGAAAGCUAGGGGAGCAAACAGG